GGAGGGGUGCUCCGAAUGGUAAGGAACCAGUCUUGAAAACUGGCGCCCGUAAGGGCUUGCAGGUUCGAGUCCUGUCCCCUCCGCAA
RNAcentral lists this transfer RNA (86 nucleotides) under Candidatus Gottesmanbacteria bacterium RIFCSPLOWO2_01_FULL_46_9. Its description in RNAcentral is "tRNA-Ser". It matches the Rfam family "tRNA". From Rfam's summary of the family: Transfer RNA (tRNA) molecules are approximately 80 nucleotides in length. Their secondary structure includes four short double-helical elements and three loops (D, anti-codon, and T loops). The record is from RNAcentral. Lineage: Bacteria; Candidatus Gottesmaniibacteriota.